This 119-nucleotide ribosomal RNA is filed under the name Pediculus humanus corporis (human body louse). The record is from RNAcentral. Lineage: Eukaryota; Metazoa; Arthropoda; Insecta; Psocodea; Pediculidae.
AAUAAUAAUAAUAAUAAUAAUAAUAAACCGGUUCCCGUACGAUCACCGAAGUUAAGCAGCAUCGGGCGUGGUGCAAACUUGGAUGGGUGACCGUUUGAGAACGCCACGUGCUGUUGGCU